GACGAACGCUGGCGGCGUGCUUAACACAUGCAAGUCGAACGGAAAGGCCCUGCUUUUGUGGGGUGCUCGAGUGGCGAACGGGUGAGUAACACGUGAGUAACCUGCCCUUGACUUUGGGAUAACUUCAGGAAACUGGGGCUAAUACCGGAUAGGAGCUCCUGCUGCAUGGUGGGGGUUGGAAAGUUUCGGCGGUUGGGGAUGGACUCGCGGCUUAUCAGCUUGUUGGUGGGGUAGUGGCUUACCAAGGCUUUGACGGGUAGCCGGCCUGAGAGGGUGACCGGACACAUUGGGACUGAGAUACGGCCCAGACUCCUACGGGAGGCAGCAGUGGGGAAUAUUGCACAAUGGGCGGAAGCCUGAUGCAGCAACGCCGCGUGCGGGAUGACGGCCUUCGGGUUGUAAACCGCUUUCGCCUAUGACGAAGCGUGAGUGACGGUAAUGGGUAAAGAAGCACCGGCUAACUACGUG
RNAcentral lists this ribosomal RNA (468 nucleotides) under uncultured bacterium. RNAcentral's name for it is "partial 16S ribosomal RNA". It matches the Rfam family "Bacterial small subunit ribosomal RNA", at positions 28 to 507 of the family's 1533-position model. The record is from RNAcentral.